UCUGGUUGAUCCUGCCAGUAGUCAUAUGCUUGUCUCAAAGAUUAAGCCAUGCAUGUCUAAGUACGGCUCUAGUACGGUGAAACUGCGAAUGGCUCAUUAAAUCAGUUUUGGUUCAUUUGAUCGUAAAAGUUUACAUGGAUAACUGUUGUAAUUCAAGAGCUAAUACAUGCUAAGAGCGUUGCUUUUUAAGUGGCGUGCUUUUAUCAGAACAAAACCAAUCACCUUCGGGUGUUCCAAUGUGGCGAGUCUGGAUAAUUUAGCUGAUCGCAUGGUCUUAGAACCGGCGAUGGAUCAUUCAAGUGUCUGACCUAUCAACUGUCGAUGGUAGCGUAUUGGUCUACCAUGGUUGUAACGGGUAACGGAGAAUUAGGGUUUGGUUCCGGAGAGGGAGCCUGAGAAACGGCUACCACAUCUAAGGAAGGCAGCAGGCGCGCAAAUUACCCAUUCCCGACUCGGGGAGGUAGUGACGAAAAAUAACAAUUCAAGACUCUAAACGAGGCCUUGAAGUUGGAAUGAGUACACUUUAAAAUUUUUAACGAGUAUCUAUUGGAGGGCAAGUCUGGUGCCAGCAGCCGCGGUAAUUCCAGCUCCAAUAGCGUAUACUAAAGUUGUUGCGGUUAAAAAGCUCGUAGUUGGAUCUUGGAGCGUGUUCUUGCGGUCAUACUUAUUGUUUGUACUGCUUGACGCGUUCUUCUAUUUGGUUGCGUGUGCAAGUUCUCUUAGUUGAGUGCUGUACUCGACCGAAACGUUUACCUUGAAAAAAUUAGAGUGUUCAAAGCAGACCUGUUUGUGUCUGAAUAUUCGUGCAUGGAAUAAUGAAAUAUGAAUUCGGUUCUAUUUUGUUGGUUUUCGGAACUCGAGUUAAUGAUUAAGAGGGACAGACGGGGGUAUUAGUACUCUGCCGUUAGAGGUGAAAUUCUUGGAUCGGCGGAAGACUCGCAACUGCGAAAGCAUUUGCCAAGAAUGUUUUCUUUAAUCAAGAACGAUAGUCGGAGGUUCGAAGACGAUCAGAUACCGUCCUAGUUUCGACUGUAAACUAUGCCAGCUAACGAUCAGACAGCGUUCUCUACGACUUGUCUGGCAGUUUCCGGGAAACCAAAGCUUUUGGGUUCCGGGGGAAGUAUGGUUGCAAAGCUGAAACUUAAAGGAAUUGACGGAAGG
Molecule: ribosomal RNA, 1161 nt
Filed under: marine metagenome
Description: SSU rRNA
Rfam family: Eukaryotic small subunit ribosomal RNA
Source: RNAcentral